RNAcentral lists this ribosomal RNA (615 nucleotides) under Triticum aestivum (bread wheat). Its description in RNAcentral is "partial small subunit ribosomal RNA". The record is from RNAcentral. Lineage: Eukaryota; Viridiplantae; Streptophyta; Magnoliopsida; Poales; Poaceae.
AUGGCUACCUGCUUCUCUGAUUUAAUAAAAGACCAUUCCCUUGACUUUAUAGGCCUUCAGGAAACUAUGAAAAAGAAAAUAUCCCCUAAAUUUGUCAGGAAUAUUGAUCACCUGGAUAGAUAUGCGUGGAAUCAUAUCCCUUCUGUAGGCAAGUCUGGAGGGAUUUUAUGUGGUAUCAAAAAAGAGACACUUGAAGUAGUAUCCUGCGUACCAAAAAACUUCCUUCUGCAAGCUAACAUCUAUGAUGUUAAGCAAAAAUGCAUGUGGGCCCUCAUAGUGGUCUAUGGGGCUGCCCAGGAUGAUAGAAAGGAUGAUUUCCUAGAAGAACUGAUAUCGGUAUGCUCUCAAAUACCUAUCCCCUAUAUAGUGGGUGGAGAUUUCAAUAUCCUUCGCAAUAGUGGUGAGAAAAAUAAGAGUAUGACCUACUCCCAAUAUACAGAUAAGUUCAACUCAAUUAUCCAAUCCCUCAAGGUGAGAGAAAUACAUAUGGGAGGAGGUAAAUACACAUGGUCGAACAAACAGAAACACCCUACUUUGGAGAAGUUGGAUAGGAUCCUUAUGAGCUUUGAUUGGGAGGACCUGUUCCCCUUGGUUACCGUUCGAAAACUAGUUUGA